RNAcentral lists this long non-coding RNA (1657 nucleotides) under Sus scrofa (pig). RNAcentral describes it as "lncRNA (ENSSSCG00040065875.1)". The record is from RNAcentral. Lineage: Eukaryota; Metazoa; Chordata; Mammalia; Artiodactyla; Suidae.
AUGAAAAGGAACAAAUGUUUUUUUCUAUCAAGCUCCACAAUAAAAAUCAGAGCUAAUGUUUGCCACACACUCACUUGGGCCUAUUGGAUUAUUAUGGCACUGCUCCUGUCAGAGAAAACAGAUAUACGACUCCAACUGGUAACUCCUAUGCUCUGGGUUAUCACAGACUUCAAAAGGGGCUGGGGUCAGCUCUGCAGGAUCCGGAGAAAGACGAAGAAAAGUCCCAGUCAACACAAAGCCCAUCAAGUCUGAAUACACAUUUCUUUGACUGCAUCCUCAAUGAGUGAGUACUGCGACAAUGAUUGGUUUUGGCUGAGGAUUGUUGUGCAGGCCUAUAUGGUCAGGCAGGCCAUUUAAAUGCUCAUAUUUUAUUCUGCUAGCACUGAACGUUUAGUUACGAUCAAGUCAAAUAUAUUUUGUGCAUGCACAAAUGAGCCUCCAGCCUCUGCAUCCUUUUUUUUUUUUUUUUUUUUUUUAAGGAAUGACUGAAUGCAAUCUUUACUCAAAGCUAAGCUAGCUAGCUAAAUUAUCAGAUGAUUUGGAUUAGCAAACAUUAUGGAACUUUGUCUGCAACCAUGAGCCUCUUAUCUAUUAUAGUUUUAUCAUCACGAUUUUAACCACACUGAUGGAAAUGUAGGCUUGUCCAAUUUUUUUUUUUUGUCUGAGCCUGCAGCAUGAGGAAGUUCUCAGACCAGAGAUAGAACCUGCACCUUAGAAUAGGUUCCUUAGAACUAUGUCUGGAUUCUCAUGUUGCAACAGAAGAAAGGGUGGGGGAAAAAAUGUAAUUGUAAUGUAUACAUGUAAGGAUAACCUGACCCCCUUGCUGUACAAUGGGAAAAUAAAAAUAAAAAUAUAUUAAAGUUCUUUAAAAAAAAAAAAAAAAGAAUAGGUUCCUUAACCUGCUGAGCCACCAGGGAACUCCAAGCCCUGUCCAAAUUUGAUGCCACAUCUUUGUGGUGCUUUUCAAAUAUAAACUGUGAUAAUCUGAGUUUGUUAAUAUAGUCAAUGAAAACCCUGUCUUUCAAAAGUUAACUUUAAAGUGUAUAAAGAAGAAAAAUUCUCUGCAAUCAGCAUACCAGUCCUGGGACAACAAAGUCCACAGUUGAGCAUGAAUCACGGUGGGGCACAGGUCAGUAGGGGACCCAAAGGAAUUAGGGAGCAACGAGCAAACAAGAUUAUUUUCCCCCUAACCAAGAGGUGGCUAAAGAUUUUGUCAUUUUAUAAGCAGAAUACUGAAAUUAAGGUGAAAAGCACACAGCAUAGACUAAGAUAAAAGUUGAGUCAACUGCAUUUAGUUUAUCUCACAUUAUGGAUUUAAUUCUUACCAACUCCUAAGUUUUUGUGCCCUUUAGAGGAUAUUUAUAAGAAACAACUCUAUAGGCAUAUUAAGGGGACUUGAGUAAGCUGGACUCAGAUGAUUACUGUAAGCAUGAUUCUGAUGUCCAGAAACAUAAGUUCAAUUUAUAUAUAUAAGUAUAUAUAACUGAGAUUUAUAAAUAUAUAUAAAACCAAGUCACUUUGUUGUACAGCAGAAAUUAACCCAAUGAUGUCAAGUCACCUAAAGUUCAAUAAAAUUUAAAAAAGAAAGCAGAGAGAUUAUUGACGUAAAGGUUAGUAGAACUACAGUGAGAUCAUUUGCUUGGCCUGUCAGAGAAUA